UACGUAGGGUGCGAGCGUUAAUCGGAAUUACUGGGCGUAAAGCGUGCGCAGGCGGCUAUAUAAGACAGAUGUGAAAUCCCCGGGCUCAACCCGGGAACUGCAUUUGUGACUGUAUAGCUAGAGGACGGGAGGGGGGGAUGGAAUUCCCCGUGUAGCAGUGAAAUGCGUAGAUAUGGGGAGGAACACCGAUGGCGAAGGCAAUCCCCUGGACCUGUACUGACGCUCAUGCACGAAAGCGUGGGGAGCAAACAGGAUUAGAUACCCUGGUAGUCCACGCCCUAAACGAUGUCAACUGGUUGUUGGGUCUUCACUGACUCAGUAACGAAGCUAACGCGUGAAGUUGACCGCCUGGGGAGUACGGCCGCAAGGUUG
This 372-nucleotide ribosomal RNA is filed under the name uncultured prokaryote. RNAcentral's name for it is "bacterial SSU rRNA". It matches the Rfam family "Bacterial small subunit ribosomal RNA", at positions 524 to 896 of the family's 1533-position model. The record is from RNAcentral.